GGGGAUUUGCCCUGGCCAAAGAUGAAACAAGGCUUAUCACUGGCUGUGGAGACAGUGAACUAAGAGUUUGGCAAAUUAGUUCUAAUAAUGAUUCAACAACAGAGAAAGAACAGACAGUUUUUGCUGCCACUAAGCGCACUKCUGAGGAAGCUAACUUAGAUGUUGGAGAAAAUACAUCAGCCAAUCAGGAAAAUCAACAGGUUUGCUGURAUCUGAUUGGUUCAGUUAUUCGUCAAAGUAGAUCAAGAGUGUCAUCAAUAGCUGUCUCUCAAACAGGACAAGUUUUGGGCUGUUUGGGCAAUGACUCACAGCUGGAGUUGUUUCGAAUUGCAUCUGAAGAAGAGAUAAACAAAACUUUACAAAAGAGAUUAAAGAAAACUUUGAAGAA
Molecule: long non-coding RNA, 388 nt
Organism: Exaiptasia diaphana
Lineage: Eukaryota; Metazoa; Cnidaria; Anthozoa; Actiniaria; Aiptasiidae
Exons: 3
Source: RefSeq, a predicted model, not a curated record